UGAACUGAACCAGAGUCAGCUUGCUCCAGUGUGCAUAUGGCAUGAGGUAAGCCAAUCAGAUAUUCUCUUCCAGGAGUUUGGAAUCAAGGUUCAGUGAUAGCAGGGGCUGGAACUGUAACUUGUGAGUGAGUUAACCCUCUGAGAGACUGGGUCCUGGUCUGGAGAAUCUUUGUUUGCUGACUCCCAAGAUAGGACAGGCAAUGCUGAGUGUUCACAUCCAGCUGUAGAAGCCAGGAGAAAGUUGGUGCCCCUGCAUGGAAGGGUUGAGAGAUUGAGGAGCCUGGUGGAAUUGGGUGCAGAAGGGGGUGACCCAGGAGCACACUGGAUGACGUAUUUAGAGUAGGGGCAAAAGAGAAGAACCCUAAUUAGAGGUGCUGCUGGGAAGAUUUGGAGGCAGAGAAUGGGUUUGAAGAAUUUGCCUGGGAGUAUGUAGGGUAACCCCUGCAUUGUCCUGCGAACUCCUCAGUAAAGUCAGAUGGGCCUCUUAUGUUUUGUUAGUCCCUGGCCCCUGGUAACUGCUGUUCCUUGUUCUGAUUCAACUGUUGCUUGCUAUAGAUUUAAAGAAAGGGGUCUGAAGGAUCUGUCAGGCUGCAGUGUGGACAACAGAUCAGAGGAGAGCAAGAAUAGAUGGGAGAGAGCCAUUAGCAAGCUGUGGUCGUACCACAGGCAAGAGCUGGAUUGUGACAAUGGCAGCAGGGAUGAAGAGGAUGGAAAGGCAUGACACAUGAGAGAGGCAUUUAGGAUGGAAUCCAGGUCCUCUGCAUGGCCCCCCAAGGCCCUGAACCCAACAGCCCAAACCCAUCCUUCCCGCUGAAAGUCCACAGAUGCUAAGCUCCAGCCAAG
Molecule: long non-coding RNA, 843 nt
Filed under: Homo sapiens (human)
Lineage: Eukaryota; Metazoa; Chordata; Mammalia; Primates; Hominidae
Description: HSALNT0339682
Source: RNAcentral